RNAcentral lists this ribosomal RNA (690 nucleotides) under Pseudomonas oryzihabitans. Its description in RNAcentral is "bacterial SSU rRNA". It matches the Rfam family "Bacterial small subunit ribosomal RNA", at positions 84 to 770 of the family's 1533-position model. Lineage: Bacteria; Pseudomonadati; Pseudomonadota; Gammaproteobacteria; Pseudomonadales; Pseudomonadaceae. The record is from RNAcentral.
UCCUCGAUUCAGCGGCGGACGGGUGAGUAAUGCCUAGGAAUCUGCCCAGUAGUGGGGGACAACGUUUCGAAAGGAACGCUAAUACCGCAUACGUCCUACGGGAGAAAGUGGGGGAUCUUCGGACCUCACGCUAUUGGAUGAGCCUAGGUCGGAUUAGCUAGUUGGUAGGGUAAAGGCCUACCAAGGCGACGAUCCGUAACUGGUCUGAGAGGAUGAUCAGUCACACUGGAACUGAGACACGGUCCAGACUCCUACGGGAGGCAGCAGUGGGGAAUAUUGGACAAUGGGCGAAAGCCUGAUCCAGCCAUGCCGCGUGUGUGAAGAAGGCCCUCGGGUCGUAAAGCACUUUAAGUUGGGAGGAAGGGCUCACAGCGAAUACCUGUGAGUUUUGACGUUACCAACAGAAUAAGCACCGGCUAACUUCGUGCCAGCAGCCGCGGUAAUACGAAGGGUGCAAGCGUUAAUCGGAAUUACUGGGCGUAAAGCGCGCGUAGGUGGCUUGAUAAGUUGGAUGUGAAAUCCCCGGGCUCAACCUGGGAACUGCAUCCAAAACUGUCUGGCUAGAGUGCGGUAGAGGGUAGUGGAAUUUCCAGUGUAGCGGUGAAAUGCGUAGAUAUUGGAAGGAACACCAGUGGCGAAGGCGACUACCUGGACUGACACUGACACUGAGGUGCGAAAGCGUGGGGAGCA